GAAUAAGGGAGCCGUAGAGAAAUCGAGUCUGAAUAGGGCGAUAGUCGCUGGGAGUAGACCCGAAACCGGGCGAUCUAGCCAUGUGCAGGAUGAAGGUUGGGUAACACCAACUGGAGGUCCGAACCGGGUAAUGUUGAAAAAUUAUCGGAUGACGUGUGGCUAGGAGUGAAAGGCUAAUCAAGCCCGGAGAUAGCUGGUUCUCCCCGAAAGCUAUUUAGGUAGCGCCUCGUGAAUGAUUACUGGGGGUAGAGCACUGUUUCGGCUAGGGGGCUGUCAUGGCUUACCAAACCGAUGCAAACUCCGAAUACCGGCUAAUUGAAUCACGGGAGACACACGGCGGGUGCUAACGUCCGUCGUGGAGAGGGAAACAACCCAGACCGCCAGCUAAGGUCCCCAAGUACUAGUUAAGUGGGAAACGAUGUGGGAAGGCAUAGACAGCCAGGAGGUUGGCUUAGAAGCAGCCACCCUUUAAAGAAAGCGUAAUAGCUCACUGGUCGAGUCGGCCUGCGCGGAAGAUGUAACGGGGCUAAAACUAGUCACCGAAGCUGCGGAUGUGCGCGAAGGCGCACGUGGUAGGGGAGCGUUCUGUAGGCUGAUGAAGGUGCAUUGAGAAGUGUGCUGGAGGUAUCAGAAGUGCGAAUGCUGACAUGAGUAACGAUAAUGUGGGUGAAAAGCCCACACGCCGGAAGUCCCAGGUUUCCUGCACGACGUUAAUCGGAGCAGGGUGAGUCGGCCCCUAAGGCGAGGCUGAAGAGCGUAGUCGAUGGGAACCAGGUUAAUAUUCCUGGACUUUUUAUAAGUGGUGAAGUGGGGACGAAGAAGGCUAGGUGAGCCAGGCGUUGGUUGUCCUGGUACUUGCAUGUAGGGGGGAAGACUUGGCAAAUCCGGUUUUCCAUAACUCUGAGGUGCGAAGUGGUUCUGACCUUUUGGUACAGAGAAGUCAUUGAUGCCCGGCUUCCAGGAAAAGCUGCUAGCCAUAACUUAUAGAGAACCGUACCGCAAACCGACACAGGUGGACAGGUAGAGAAUACUAAGGCGCUUGAGAGAACUCGGGUGAAGGAACUAGGCAAAAUGGUACCGUAACUUCGGGAGAAGGUACGCCCUUUCUGGUGAUGGGAUUUACUUUCAGAGCUGGAGAGGGCCGCAGAGACCAGGUGGCUGCGACUGUUUAUUAAAAACACAGCACUCUGCAAAUUCGUAAGAAGACGUAUAGGGUGUGACGCCUGCCCGGUGCCGGAAGGUUAAUUGAUGGGGUUAUCUUCGGAGAAGCUCUUGAUCGAAGCCCCGGUAAACGGCGGCCGUAACUAUAACGGUCCUAAGGUAGCGAAAUUCCUUGUCGGGUAAGUUCCGACCUGCACGAAUGGCGUAACGAUGGCCACACUGUCUCCACCCGAGACUCAGUGAAAUUGAAAUCGCUGUGAAGAUGCAGUGUACCCGCGGCUAGACGGAAAGACCCCGUGAACCUUUACUAUAGUUUUGCACUGGACUUUGAUGAUGACUGUGUAGGAUAGGUGGGAGGCUGUGAAGUGAGGACGCUAGUUCUCAUGGAGCCGCCCUUGAAAUACCACCCUGUUGUUAUUGAGGUUCUAACUUGGUCCAGUAAUCCUGGAUGAGGACAGUGUAUGAUGGGUAGUUUGACUGGGGCGGUCUCCUCCCAAAGAGUAACGGAGGAGCACAAAGGUACCCUCGGUACGGUCGGACAUCGUACCAAGAGUGUAAAGGCAAAAGGGUGCUUGACUGCGAGAGUGACGGCUCGAGCAGGAACGAAAGUUGGUCUUAGUGAUCCGGUGGUUCUGAAUGGAAGGGCCAUCGCUCAACGGAUAAAAGGUACUCCGGGGAUAACAGGCUGAUACCGCCCAAGAGUUCAUAUCGACGGCGGUGUUUGGCACCUCGAUGUCGGCUCAUCACAUCCUGGGGCUGAAGCAGGUCCCAAGGGUAUGGCUGUUCGCCAUUUAAAGUGGUACGCGAGCUGGGUUUAGAACGUCGUGAGACAGUUCGGUCCCUAUCUGCCGUGGGCGUAGGAAAAUUGAGAGGAGCUGCUCCUAGUACGAGAGGACCGGAGUGGACGAACCUCUGGUGCACCGGUUGUCACGCCAGUGGCAUGGCCGGGUAGCUAAGUUCGGACGGGAUAACCGCUGAAAGCAUCUAAGCGGGAAGCCUCCCUCAAGAUGAGUUUUCCCAUGAAGCCCGUUGAAGACUACGACGUUGAUAGGCAAGGUGUGGAAGCGCAGUAAUGCGUGAAGCUAACUUGUACUAAUUGGCUGAUUGUCUUGACCA
This 2277-nucleotide ribosomal RNA is filed under the name Legionella pneumophila. RNAcentral's name for it is "partial 23S ribosomal RNA". It matches the Rfam family "Bacterial large subunit ribosomal RNA", at positions 655 to 2925 of the family's 2925-position model. RNAcentral also lists the same sequence under 1 other name. Lineage: Bacteria; Pseudomonadati; Pseudomonadota; Gammaproteobacteria; Legionellales; Legionellaceae. The record is from RNAcentral.